GACGAACGCUGGCGGCGUGCUUAACACAUGCAAGUCGAACGGAAAGGCCCUGCUUUUGUGGGGUGCUCGAGUGGCGAACGGGUGAGUAACAAGUGAGUAACCUGCCCUUGACUUUGGGAUAACUUCAGGAAACUGGGGCUAAUUCCGGAUAGGAGCUCCUGCUGCAUGGUGGGGGGUGGAAAGUUUCGGCGGUUGGGGAUGGACUCGCGGCGUAUCAGCUUGUUGGUGGGGUAGUGGCUUACCAAGGCUUUGACGGGUAGCCGGCCUGUGUGGGUGACCGGCCACAUUGGGCCUGAGGUAGGGCCCAGACUCCUACGGGCGGCAGCAGUGGGGAAUAUUGCACAAUGGGCGGAAGCCUGAUGCAGCAACGCCGCGUGCGGGAUGACGGCCUUCUGGUUGUAAACCGCUUUCGCCUGUGACGAAGCGUGAGUGACGGUAAUGGGUAAAGAAGCACCGGCUAACUACGUG
This 468-nucleotide ribosomal RNA is filed under the name uncultured bacterium. Its description in RNAcentral is "partial 16S ribosomal RNA". It matches the Rfam family "Bacterial small subunit ribosomal RNA", at positions 28 to 507 of the family's 1533-position model. The record is from RNAcentral.